GAACGGUCGGCAGUCGAUCCGCGUCGGUCGUGCGAGGGUGGUAUGGUUCCCCCAGAGGCCGGUUCUUGUGCUGCCUACCCCUUCAGGGGAAUCGGGCCACUUGAUGUAAGCCUCCAUCCGGCGCCUUCCAACGGGCGCAGGAGGACAACAGGGCACCCCCCGCGUUCCACCGAUCCUCCUCGGUCGCGUGGCCCGCGGGGACGUGCGACGCUCUCGGACCCAGCGAACGCCGUGGGCGAGGACUCACGUCCCAGUCCCGAAAAGAAGCUCCGAUAUAAUGCAAGACGGCCGCUCCCGCCCCCCCGGGGGCGAGGCGCGGCGUCGCANAGGAAUG
RNAcentral lists this unclassified non-coding RNA (334 nucleotides) under Acacia heterophylla. Its description in RNAcentral is "contains external transcribed spacer and 18S ribosomal RNA". The record is from RNAcentral. Lineage: Eukaryota; Viridiplantae; Streptophyta; Magnoliopsida; Fabales; Fabaceae.